Molecule: non-coding RNA, 121 nt
Organism: Triticum aestivum (bread wheat)
Lineage: Eukaryota; Viridiplantae; Streptophyta; Magnoliopsida; Poales; Poaceae
Source: Rfam
GACAUACUCCCUCCGUCCCGAGUUACUUGUCUUAGAUUUGUCCGUAUCUAGUCACUUUUAGUGUUAGAUACAUCCACUAGGCAAAUCUAAGACAAGUAAUUUGGGACGGAGGUAAUAUAAA